Molecule: ribosomal RNA, 430 nt
Filed under: uncultured archaeon
Lineage: Archaea
Description: bacterial SSU rRNA
Rfam family: Archaeal small subunit ribosomal RNA
Source: RNAcentral
UACCUGCAGCUCAAGUGGUGAUCGUUAUUAUUGGGCCUAAAACGUUCGUAGCCGGUUUAGUAAAUGCCUGGGUAAAUCGUGUAGCUUAACUAUACGAAUUCCGGGUAGACUGCUAAACUUGAGACCGGGAGAGGCUAGAGGUACUCCUGGGGUAGAGGUGAAUUCUGUAAUCCUAGGGGGACCACCAGUGGCGAAGGCGUCUAGCUAGAACGGGUCUGACGGUGAGGGACGAAGCCCUGGGGCGCAAACCGGAUUAGAUACCCGGGUAGUCCAGGGUGUAAACGCUGCUUGCUUGAUGUUAGUUGGGCUCUGAGCCCAAUUAGUGUCGGAGCGAAGUUGUUAAGCAAGCUAGCCUGGGAAGUACGGUCGCAAGACUGAAACUUAAAGGAAUUGGGCGGGGGAGCACAGCAACGGGUGGAGCGUGCGGUUU